NCACUGCUGAGGAGUUCCACAAUAGGACGAAACGGCCGUCCAGUGC
This 46-nucleotide non-coding RNA is filed under the name Schistosoma mattheei. The record is from RNAcentral. Lineage: Eukaryota; Metazoa; Platyhelminthes; Trematoda; Strigeidida; Schistosomatidae.